This is an RNA transcript of Myxocyprinus asiaticus (Chinese sucker), 6435 nucleotides long. RefSeq lists it as uncharacterized. The record is from RefSeq and is a predicted model, not a curated record. Lineage: Eukaryota; Metazoa; Chordata; Actinopteri; Cypriniformes; Catostomidae. The transcript is spliced from 5 exons.
GGUCACCACUUCCACUUGAUUGUGUUCAAAUAUGUGUGAAACAAGACAGUGGGAGUCAGACAAAGCUUUGAAGAUGCAGUGCAUUGUGAGAUACAGUCUACUAUUGAUCAGCAUCUGUUUAAGCAGCCCUUCAUGGGCAACACUGCAGAAAGACACUGUUACAGUUUUAAAGGGAGCCGCUGGGAAGGAGAUCACCAUCCCAUGUGCUACUGACAAGAGCCCUCAGGAUGGGGUGCACAUGUUUAAAAUAGACAAAACAGAAAAGCAGAAAAUCUUCUACUAUUACAAAGAUGGCACUUUUUCCCCUGAAACACCUUACAAGUGCAAAGUAUAUGUAAGUGAAGAUCUCACCAACCUUAAUGCCACCUUUCUUAACCUGACUGACAGUGACAUUGGUUUGUACUGGUGCGAAUUCAACUGGGAAGACAAAAUUAACCAUAGCUCUUCAACUUGGUUAUGGGUGACAGAACCACCAGACUCAGAAAAAGAGUGCCCAAAAAAUCCGCCUUACUAUAUGAUGACAUUGCUUGUUGGGUGUAUCGUCAUUUUCCUGCUGUGCCUCAUUACUUUCUUCUAUGUAAUUCUAAAGGUGAAGGGUUGUUUUGAGUACAAGAAGUACACACCAGCAAUUCAGCCUACAGACUCAGUGUAUGAGGAUAUGAAAAGGAGCAAUCUGGAUUCCCAGGCCACUGCAAAGUCAUCCAUCAACCCUGAGUAUCAGUCUGCCACUCAUAGUAAUAAAAACAAAUGUUAUUGAUCAGUGCUUAAGUUGCAUUGCUCUCCAUUUGGAUUUGCAAUGCUUUUAAAAUAGAAUGAUUCAUUGCUUCAUAUUUUAGUUUAUUCAGCAUACUUUCCAUUUUUAUUUUAUGUGCAAUUUGUCUCCUUUGCCUUUCCUGUGAGUUUGAGUUAACACCAACCUUUGUUUGUGAGUGAACAUAAACCAUGUAUAUUUUAAUUACUUCAAGAACACAAAGUGUGGAAAAAAUGUAACCUUUUCGCACGAGUUUCUCCUGUACUGAAGGACCCCCCAGUGUGAGUUCUUUAAUUCGUGCUGUAGCCUAAUAAAAAAAAAAAAAAAAUCUUACUUUACGCUUCACAGCACUGAAGGACAAAUUAUAUAUUAUCAACAUAUAAUGUGGAUUUUAGAUGUUUAUAAUGAUUGAUUAUAAUAGAUGAAAUGCAAUCGUGAAUGUGCUUCAGGUGUUAUGGAUCAUCUAGGGAUUUUGUUAGCUGGGGAUGUACACGUGUAUGUGAAUAAUUUUACUUGCAUUUUCAGCAGACUUGUUCAGUGUGAAUGCCAAGGAGCUAGGAAAAGAUUUGAAAAAUGUUGGUAUUUUCUGAAGAACUUUCUAAUGCUUUCUUAUUAAACCGAGUUGUUUCAUCGAUGUCUGUUCUAAUGAAUUUGACACAGUUUAGGAGCAAUUUUAACAAUUUCACAGGGUAAUAUGGUUGCCCAUAUUAAUGUGGGACAUUGAAUGGGAACUGAGACACUUGUCAGAGCAGUAAAUCCCAAGUGGAAUUAUUUUAUAUGCAACACUAAAGCAUCAUAGGCUGAUAUGUGUCAAUAAUAUAUUUUCAAUUGCUUAUAUUUCUUUACAAUGAAUAAUGGCUUUAUUAACCAUAACAGUUUAAGUUACUUUCUCCUACCAGUAAAGAUUAACAAAAUGGACACUUAAUCUGAUAUUGGAUCGUGGUCCAGCGAUAAGUUUUUGGGUAGUGCACGUAACGACCUGGGUUCAAAUCCCGAUCAAUCAGGAUACAUUUAUAGCUUUGCUGCAGAUUAUAUUGUAUUUUUAACAGGUCUGUUAAAAUUAUUUUGUAAAACACAUAUACACAGACACAUUUUAUUUUAUUGUUUUAAAGAAAUCAAUCAAAAUUGACAUUGCAUCUGACAGCCAGUAAAUAUAGUAUAAUCUAUUGACUUUUCUGAGAAUGGUUGAAUUACUGAUAAAAAAAUAUUAACUAAGAUGUCCAUAGUUAAUAGGCGCCAAUGAUGACGUAAGCCUACAGGCCCUGGAUGGGAAUCUCAGACGGUUCCGGCAGGUGGUGGCGUUUUGCGGGCACAAGCACACCGCAACCGCCUUAUCCACCUGGGGAAUCACCGAGUACCCCCUGGCAGCCCCACCGUCAAGGGUAGUGAGAGAGGAGGAGCCCAUAAAUUGGGUCCAGGCAGUGAAGGGUGCCCACCACGAUCUCGUGAGCUCAUCAUGCACCUCCGGGAAGAAAGGAACUGGGGAAGGGCGUGGCCGUGAGUGGCGCUCUGAGCCCAGGAACCAAUCGUCGAGCUGCGAGGGUUCAGGGGGGAGUGGAGGGUUCCACUCCAGCCCGAUGCUCGCAGCUGCCCGGGCAAGCAUGGCCGCCAGCUUCGUGUCAGGCUGCGACUGGGCAACCACACCCGAGUGUGGCAUUCCAGUCGAGUCCUCGGCAUCAGACUGGAUGAGCCCGCUCUCCGAUGCUGCGAUCGAGAGCUCAUCCUCUUUGUGAGCCCCGAAUGAAAUCACGAACUCGCCCUGAGAUGAGCUGGCGGUCUCAUCCUAGAACUCAUCCAGGGCACAUGAAUGUACUGGGAAAUGGGAGGUCCGUGGGGGGUUUCCCGGUGGAGAAGCUCCCAUUGAGGUCCCCAAAUCGCCCCCAGUGCUAACCGCCGUGGCCUCAUACCUGUAGGUAGAAGGACCGAGGCGGGAAGCCGCUGGGGUGGCUUUCCCUCUGACGAAGGAAAGCCGCGACCACAAUGUUACCAUGGUCAUGUUCUCGCAAUGAGGACAUGACCCAUCCACGAACGAUGUCUCCACGUGGGCAGUGCCCUAGCACGUGAGACAGCGAUCGUGGCCGUCAGAAGUGGAGAAAUAGCGACCGCAAACAGGAAUUAUACACAGACGGAAUGGCAUCUUUAAAUAGACGCUCUGUCUGUGCCACUCUUUUAGUAGGAAAAUAUACUCUUUUAUUAGGAAAAAUAUACUCUUUUAGCUGCUGGAGUGCCCAGGGCAUUCUCUGCACACCACCGGUGCAAGAGGGGGAGAAACUGCUGUAAUGCGCUGUAAAUCCAACAGCUUUCGAGGUGAAUGGAUCGGCGGAGGAAUUCAGCUCGCUGAAACACAACCGCUCGGCUCUGAAGAAAAAAUCUGAAUGAGUGGUUGCAAGCCAGCUCCUUUUAUACCCAUAUGUCCGGGGGAGUGGCAUGCAAAUUCCACUCGCCAAUUCCCAUUGGCCUUUUCUCAAAUAUCAGAGGUGUUUGUGGCUCCCAAGGGCAACCCCUAGUGUCACUACAUCAACACAACAUCGAGAGAGUGACAGAUAGGGAACCUGUGAUGCUUUUACUGCGACACUUCAAUGUCUUCCAUGAGCACAUUUCAUGAAACACAAAAUGGGUCCAAAUUAAUUUUUUUGUUCUGUUUUUAUCACUGUAUAUAACUUGCAACCAGGGGCGAGGCCACAUAAGGGCCAGGUUGGCACUGGUCCACCCAGAUUGACGGCUGGUCCACCUAAUACAAGUAGCCAGUAUAUACUGAUAUUAUGCAAAUUGCAAAUAAAAUAAACUACAUUUUGUCACACACAAUAUAGCACAUAUUUAUGAUAAUCAUAUUUCUGUUAUAAAUAUAGUUAGAAAAAUUAGUUUUUAUUCAAAAUAGGAAAACUUUUACAUGAUUAUGGUGAAAUGAAAUGGGUCACAACACACUUCUCAGUGAUUCGCUCAUGUUAUGUGAUCUGCGCAGCGAUAUAUGCAGUAAUGCCUGUAAAUGUAUCCACUCAGCACCCAUAUAGGCCUAAAUGACCCACAACGUGUGGUUUGGUCUCACUAUCAUUUUAGUACAUUAACGUCAUUAAAGAGAACAUGCAAGAAACAGAUUUCACAGUGGCAGUGCAGUAGAAGUUUGUGUAGGUGGCAUGACAUUUAUGUGGUUUAAACAGCCACCUGCAACACACUCUCAUGAUCAAACAUGGCUGAGGGGACAUUUUGCCUGAACCAUCAUUUACUUUGCUUUUUUUUUUUAUUGCUCAUUUUCUCAUUGUUUUGUUUGCCAUAGGACAGCUUUUCAGAAAAAAGAGUUGUGAAACGCGAAAAGCACCAUAAAAAUGUUCAUAAAAAUAAUCCAUGCUAUUUGUGCACUAUAUUUUGGAUCUUCUGAUUCCGAUAAAUAAAAUGAUUAUUAUUGACUACAUUUAGCUGCCUGUUACAUGUUUUAUACUUGUAACAGUUUUAUUGGGUUUUUUUUCCCUCCCAUUUGCUGAGGUAUUGAGUUCUUACAAGCUGCUUUACACUUGCAAGUCAAAUUUUGGUUUUAAAAAUAGGCAAAAAGAAAAACAUUUUCCCUAAAAUUCUAUUUUCUCCUAAAGUCUAUUGUUUUAGAGAGAUGAAGGCUAUUCCAUGCAUUACUGUUUUGAAAAAAGAAUCUCUAACCAGGAUAGAGAGGGAAGUGGACGGCACAGAUGCACAACAAAAAGACAAGUAAAUCACAGUCUCUAGUUUGAAAAAAAGACUCCUCACAGGUCCUAAACUAGCAGCUUGUAAAUGCCAAAGACCUGCAUUGCUGCAAGAGGGUCCUUGGACAAACAGAAAAUUGUGAAGGGUUGUUUUGAGUACAAGAAGUACACACCAGCAAUUCAGCCUACAGACUCAGUGUAUGAGGAUAUGAAAAGGAGCAAUCUGGAUUCCCAGGCCACUGCAAAGUCAUCCAUCAACCCUGAGUAUCAGUCUGCCACUCAUAGUAAUAAAAACAAAUGUUAUUGAUCAGUGCUUAAGUUGCAUUGCUCUCCAUUUGGAUUUGCAAUGCUUUUAAAAUAGAAUGAUUCAUUGCUUCAUAUUUUAGUUUAUUCAGCAUACUUUCCAUUUUUAUUUUAUGUGCAAUUUUUCUCCUUUGCCUUUCCUGUGAGUUUGAGUUAACACCAACCUUUGUUUGUGAGUGAACAUAAACCAUGUAUAUUUUAAUUACUUCAAGAACACAAAGUGUGGAAAAAAUGUAACCUUUUCGCACGAGUUUCUCCUGUACUGAAGGACCCCCCAGUGUGAGUUCUUUAAUUCGUGCUGUAGCCUAAUAAAAAAAAAAAAAAAUCUUACUUUACGCUUCACAGCACUGAAGGACAAAUUAUAUAUUAUCAACAUAUAAUGUGGAUUUUAGAUGUUUAUAAUGAUUGAUUAUGAUAGAUGAAAUGCGAUCGUGAAUGUGCUUCAGGUGUUAUGGAUCAUCUAGGGAUUUUGUUAGCUGGGGAUGUACACGUGCAUGUGAAUAAUUUUACUUGCAUUUUCAGCAGACUUGUUCAAUGUGAAUGCCAAGGAGCUAGGAAAAGAUUUGAAAAAUGUUGGUAUUUUCUGAAGAACUUUCUAAUGCUUUCUUAUUAAACCGAGUUGUUUCAUCGAUGUCUGUUCUAAUGAAUUUGACACAGUUUAGGAGCAAUUUUAACAAUUUCACAGGGUAAUAUGGUUGCCCAUAUUAAUGUGGGACAUUGAAUGGGAACUGACAAUGACACUUGUCAGAGCAGUAAAUCCCAAGUGGAAUUAUUUUAUUUGCAACACUAAAGCAUCAUAGGUUGAUAUGUGUCAAUAAUAUAUUUUCAAUUUCUUAUAUUUCUUUACAAUGAAUAAUACCAUAACAGUUUGAGUUACUUUCUCCUACCAGUGAAGAUUAACAAAAUGGACAAUUAAUCUGAUAUUGGAUGGUGGUCCAGUGGUAAGUUUUUGGGUAGUGCACAUAACAACCUGGGUUCAAAUCCCGAUCAAUCAGGAUACAUUUAUAGCUUUGCUGCAGAUUACAUUGUAUUUUUAACAGGUCUGUUAAAAUUAUUUUGUAAAACACAUAUACACAGACACAUUUUAUUUUAUUGUUUUAAAGAAAUCAAUCAAAAUUGACAUUGCAUCUGACAGCCAGUAAAUAUAGUAUAAUCUAUUGACUUCUCUGAGAAUGGUUUAAUUACUGAUAAAAAAAAAUAUUAACUAAGUUGUCCAUAGUUAACAGGCUUUUAAAACUGUCAAAGAUUUAUGAUUGAAAAUCUUAAGAUUUUGCCAAACAAACAAAAUCAUUAUGUUUCUGAAGAACUUUGUAAUGCUUUCUUAGAGUACCAUUUAUUCUUACCCAUGGUCAAUUUGGCCUUUGUACUUGCUCUCCACAAAAAAUUACACUGAUCUGAAAGAUCAUCUUUUGGCCAUGUCAUGGGUACUCAUAUAAACAUACAAUACUGUCAUGCACAGAACCUUUAAAAUGUAAAGAUUCUAUUAUCACAAUUUAAAUCAAAAUGCAGGUGUUCACAAGGGAACUGAACUCAAGUCUAUUUGCAUGGUUAGCAAACACACUACCACUAGACUAACAGACCUUUCUAAUUAAAUGGGAAAAAUUGUUUAAUCAACUUUAUCAAGCUGUUUUUUUUUCUUUUCUUUUUUUUCUUUUUUUUAAAUAAAAGUCAUUUAAGAGUAUAGGCCUAUUGUUGACAGAUAUCAGCCUA